Molecule: ribosomal RNA, 486 nt
Filed under: uncultured bacterium
Lineage: Bacteria
Description: partial 16S ribosomal RNA
Rfam family: Bacterial small subunit ribosomal RNA
Source: RNAcentral
AUUGAACGCUGGCGACAUGCCUUACACAUGCAAGUCGAACGGCAGCACGGGUGCUUGCACCUGGUGGCGAGUGGCGAACGGGUGAGUAAUACAUCGGAACAUGUCCUGUAGUGGGGGAUAGCCCGGCGAAAGCCGGAUUAAUACCGCAUACGAUCUACGGAUGAAAGCGGGGGACCUUCGGGCCUCGCGCUAUAGGGUUGGCCGAUGGCUGAUUAGCUAGUUGGUGGGGUAAAGGCCUACCAAGGCGACGAUCAGUAGCUGGUCUGAGAGGACGACCAGUCACACUGGGACUGAGACACGACCCAGACUCCUACGGGAGGCAGCAGUGGGGAAUUUUGGACAAUGGGCGAAAGCCUGAUCCAGCAAUGCCGCGUGUGUGAAGAAGGCCUUCGGGUUGUAAAGCACUUUUGUCCGGAAAGAAAUCCUUGGCCCUAAUACGGUCGGGGGAUGACGGUACCGGAAGAAUAAGCACCGGCUAACUACGUG